Molecule: transfer RNA, 72 nt
Filed under: Chitinophaga agri
Lineage: Bacteria; Pseudomonadati; Bacteroidota; Chitinophagia; Chitinophagales; Chitinophagaceae
Rfam family: tRNA
About the family: Transfer RNA (tRNA) molecules are approximately 80 nucleotides in length.
Source: Rfam by way of RNAcentral
UUUGGAGUGGCACAAUGGAAGCGCAUCUGCCCUACACGCAGAGGGUUACAGGUUCGAAUCCUGUCUCCGGAC